AAUUGUAAUAUAGAUUUUAAACCAUAAUACAAAAUUAUUAAUGUUACUGCACAUGAUAAACACUGUAAUAAUCAUAUCACUAACACGAACUUAUGAUAAUGUAGGUUGAAGGAUUAGUUGCUAUUCCUCUCUGUUACAUCAUCAUAACCCCCACAUGUUUUCUAUCAUGACAUCAUGAUGCAAAUCCAGACUGCUGUGUGUCCAUGCAGUAUUUAUGUGCAGCUGAGCUGAGUGGAGAGAUCGAGUCUCAUCAACACUCACCAUGAAGAUCCCACUCUCCUUAUUCCUGCUUGUAAUCAGCCUCAUAGGUACUCAGUGUCAGAGUCUUGAGUCUAUUCCCACUGGUUCAGUGGUGAAAAAACCUGGAGAAACUCUGAGUCUUUCCUGUAAAGGAUCUGGGUUUAACUUUGGUGGCUAUGGCAUGCACUGGAUCAGACAAAAAGCUGGAAAAGCUCUAGAAUGGAUUGGGGUUAUCUGGUCUGAUGCCAGUAAAACAAUAUACGCCAAAGACAUUGAGGGACGUUUGGAAAUUACCAGAGACAACUCCAAAAACAUGGUGUAUCUGCAGCUGACUGGUUUGAGUGCCCAGGAUUCUGCUGUUUAUUACUGUGCUAGAAACCACAGUGGUACAAACAUGUUAAUCAGCUGUACAAAAUCCUCCUCCAGAUGUGGACAAAGAGAAAAGAGCUGUCAAUAUAAAGGGCACUUUCACGAGAUCUGCAGGUGGCGCUACAGUUCAACAAAUAUACUGUAACAUUGUCGGUUUCUUUAAAGUACAACAUAUUCUCAUAUCCCCAGUCAGAUCUAGAUACUCCACAAUUUCUUUGUAUUUCUGUGACACAAUGAACACUGAGACUGUCUCUUAUAGUCAUAUUCUUACAGAGGAACCAAAAAGAAAAUAAAUAAUAUUUACAGAAAAUGUCUGACUUUA
This is a non-coding RNA of Tachysurus fulvidraco (yellow catfish), 931 nucleotides long. Lineage: Eukaryota; Metazoa; Chordata; Actinopteri; Siluriformes; Bagridae. The record is from the annotation of a RefSeq genome assembly.